GCGAGUGAAGCGGCAACAGCUCAAAUUUGAAAUCUGGCCCCCCGCGGGCCCGAGUUGUACUUUGGAGAGGACGCUUCUGGCGCGGCGCCGUCCGAGUUCCCUGGAACGGGACGCCGGAGAGGGUGAGAGCCCCGUACGGGCGGCCGCCUAGCCUCUGCGAAGCUCCUUCGACGAGUCGAGUAGUUUGGGAAUGCUGCUCAAAAUGGGAGGUAAAUUUCUUCUAAAGCUAAAUACCGGCCAGAGACCGAUAGCGCACAAGUAGAGUGAUCGAAAGAUGAAAAGCACUUUGAAAAGAGGGUCAAACAGUACGUGAAAUUGUUGAAAGGGAAGCGCCUGUGGCCAGACUUGCGCCCCGCGGACCACCCGGCGCCUCGCGCGCCGGGGCACGCCAGCGGGGCGCAGGCCAGCAUCGGCUCUCUCGGGGGGACAAAGGCCGCGGGAACGUAGCGCCCUCGCGGCGUAUUAUAGCCCGCGGCGCCAUGCCCCCGGGGGGGCCGAGGACCGCGCUCCGGCAAGGAUGCUGGCGUAAUGGCCACCGGCGACCCGUCUUGAAACACGGACCAAGGAGUCAAGCAUUGGGGCGAGUGUCUGGGUGGCAAGCCCGCACGCGGAAUGAAAGUGAACGCAGGUGGGAGCUUCGGCGCACCACCGACCGAUCCUGAUGUCCUCGGAUGGAUUUGAGUAGGAGCCCCGCCGCUUGGACCCGAAAGAUGGUGAACUAUGCCUGUAUAGGGUGAAGCCAGAGGAAACUCUGGUGGAGGCCCGCAGCGGUUCUGACGUGCAAAUCGAUCGUCAA
RNAcentral lists this ribosomal RNA (796 nucleotides) under Harringtonia lauricola. RNAcentral describes it as "Raffaelea lauricola partial large subunit ribosomal RNA". It matches the Rfam family "Eukaryotic large subunit ribosomal RNA", at positions 89 to 908 of the family's 3401-position model. The record is from RNAcentral. Lineage: Eukaryota; Fungi; Ascomycota; Sordariomycetes; Ophiostomatales; Ophiostomataceae.